RNAcentral lists this ribosomal RNA (2268 nucleotides) under human gut metagenome. RNAcentral describes it as "bacterial LSU rRNA". It matches the Rfam family "Bacterial large subunit ribosomal RNA", at positions 1 to 2295 of the family's 2925-position model. The record is from RNAcentral.
AAAAGUAAGCAAGGGCGCAUGGCGGAUGCCUUGGCUCUCGGAGGCGAUGAAGGACGUGAUAAGCUGCGAUAAGCCACGGGGAGGUGCAAAUAACCUUUGAUCCGUGAAUCUCCGAAUGGGACAACCCGAUAUCCUGAAGGGAUAUCACCUCAUCUAGUUGAGGAGCUAACGCAGGGAACUGAAACAUCUUAGUACCUGCAGGAAAAGAAAAUAACAAUGAUUCCCCCAGUAGUGGCGAGCGAACGGGGAAGAGCCCAAACCACACAUGUUACGGCAUGUGUGGGGUUGUAGGACCACGGCGUUGCAAGAACUCUUGUGAGAAGAACAGCCUGGAAAGACUGACCACAGACGGUGACAGUCCGGUAUUCGAAGCAAGACGAAGCAUAGUGGUAUCCUGAGUAGCGCGGAACACGAGGAAUUCUGCGUGAAUCUGCCGGGACCAUCCGGUAAGGCUAAAUACUCCCGAGAGACCGAUAGCGAACCAGUACUGUGAAGGAAAGGUGAAAAGCACUUCGAAUAGAAGAGUGAAAUAGUCCCUGAAACCGUGCGCCUACAAGCGGUCGGAGCUGCGUAAGCAGUGACGGCGUGCCUUUUGCAUAAUGAACCUACGAGUUACUUUUUCCGGCAAGGUUAAGGAUCUAGAGAUCCGUAGCCGAAGCGAAAGCGAGUCUGAACAGGGCGAUAAGUCGGAAGGAGUAGACGCGAAACCAAGUGAUCUACCCUUGGCCAGGUUGAAGGUUAGGUAACACUAACUGGAGGACCGAACCGAUAAGCGUUGAAAAGCUUCCGGAUGAGCUGAGGGUGGGGGUGAAAGGCUAAUCAAACUUGGAGAUAGCUCGUACUCCCCGAAAUGCAUUUAGGUGCAGCCUUGCGGGUUACUGAUGUGAGGUAGAGCGACUGAUAAGAUGCGAGGGCUUCACCGCCUAUCAAGUCUUGAUAAACUCCGAAUGCGCAUUAGUUCUAUCACAGGAGUGAGGGCAUGGGUGCUAAGGUCCAUGUCCUAAAGGAGAAGAAUCCGGACCAUCAGCUAAGGUCCCGAAAUAGAUACUAAGUUGAACUAACGAAGUCAGAUUGCUAAGACAGCUAGGAUGUUGGCUUGGAAGCAGCCAUUCAUUUAAAGAGUGCGUAACAGCUCACUAGUCGAGGAGUUUGGCGUGGAUAAUAAUCGGGCAUCAAGUAUCUUACCGAAGCUAUGGGAUCAUUAAUGAUCGGUAGGGGAGCAUUCCACUCCGCGUCGAAGGUGAAGCGUGAGCUUUGCUGGAGCGUGUGGAAAAGCAAAUGUAGGUAUAAGUAACGAUAAAGGGGGUGAGAAACCCCCUCGCCGAAAGACUAAGGUUUCCUGAUCAACGCUAAUCGGAUCAGGGUUAGUCGGGUCCUAAGGCUCAGCCGAACGGCGAGGCCGAUGGCAGAACCGGUUAAUAUUCCGGUACUACCUCAAGGAGUGACGUGGAGACGGAGCAGUGACAGUGCCGCGGACUGACGGAAUAGUCCGUUAAAGGGUGUAGAUGUUGAUUCCUGCAGGCAAAUCCGCAGGAAGAGUCGAACCUGAGAGUAUGGAGCGUCCUUCGGGACAAUCCAAUAGUGCACGUAAACAUACUCCCGAGAAAAUCCGCUAAACUUAAUCCUUGUGGUACCCGUACCGCAAACGGACACACGUAGUCGGGUUGAAUAUACUAAGGCGCUUGAGUGAUUCACGGUUAAGGAACUAGGCAAACUGACCCUGUAACUUCGGGAUAAAGGGUCCUCAGGGUGACUUGAGGCGCAGAGAAUCGGUCCAGGCAACUGUUUAACAAAAACACAGGGCUGUGCAAAAUAGAAAUAUGAAGUAUACAGCCUGACACCUGCCCGGUGCUGGAAGGUUAAGAGGAGAUGUCAUCGCAAGAGAAGCAUUGAAUUGAAGCCCCAGUAAACGGCGGCCGUAACUAUAACGGUCCUAAGGUAGCGAAAUUCCUUGUCGGGUAAGUUCCGACCUGCACGAAUGGUGUAAUGAUCCGGACGCUGUCUCAACCGUGAGCUCAGUGAAAUUGUAGUAUCGGUGAAGAUGCCGAUUACCCGCGAUGGGACGAAAAGACCCCGUGAACCUUUACUAUAGCUUAACAUUGAAUUUGGGUAAUUGAUGUGUAGGAUAGGCCGGAGGCUUUGAAGCAGGUACGCCAGUAUUUGUGGAGCCGCUGUUGAAAUACGGCCCUUUGAUUAUUUGAGUUCUAACCCGUUGUAACGGGGACACUGUUUGGUGGGUAGUUUGACUGGGGUGGUCGCCUCCAAAAG